This 1334-nucleotide ribosomal RNA is filed under the name uncultured archaeon. Its description in RNAcentral is "bacterial SSU rRNA". It matches the Rfam family "Archaeal small subunit ribosomal RNA", at positions 26 to 1336 of the family's 1478-position model. The record is from RNAcentral.
ACUGCUAUCGGGAUAAGGCUAAGCCAUGGGAGCCGAACGCCCUAUCACUAUAGGGCGUGACGCACGGCUGAGUAACACGUGGCUAACCUGCCCUAGGGACUGGGAUAACUCCGGGAAACUGGAGCUAAACCCGGAUAGGUGAGGAGUCCUGGAAUGGUUCCUCGCCCAAAGAGAUCUCAAGGGGUUAAUGCUUGAGAUCUGCCCUAGGAUGGGGCUACGUCCCAUCAUGGUUGUUGGCGGGGUAAUGGCCCGCCAAGCCAACGACGGGUAGGGGCCCUGAGAGGGGGAGCCCCCAGAUGGAUCCUGAGACACGAAUCCAGGCCCUACGGGGCGCACCAGGCGCGAAACCUCUGCAAUGUGGGAAACCGUGACAGGGUUAUCCCGAGUGCUCCCGUUAAGGGAGCUUUUCCUCGCUGUAAGGAGGCGAGGGAAUAAGCGGGGGGCAAGACUGGUGUCAGCCGCCGCGGUAAUACCAGCCCCGCGAGUGGUCGGGACGAUUACUGGGCCUAAAGCGCCCGUAGCCGGUCUGAUAAGUCCUCUCUGAAAGCUCCGGGCUCAACCCGGAGAGCGGAGGAGGAUACUUUCAGGCUAGGGGGCGGGAAAGGCCCGGGGGUACUCCUAGGGUAGGGGUAAAAUCCCGCYGAUCCGCGGAAGACCAACAGUGGCGAAGGCGCCCGGCCAGAACGCGCCCGACGGUGAGGGACGAAAGCCAGGGGAGCGAACCGGAUUAGAUACCCGGGUAGUCCUGGCCGUAAACGAUGCCCGCUAGGUCUUGGCGAAGCUUAGGGCUUCGCCAGGGCCGCAGGGAAGCCGUUAAGCGGGCCACCUGGGGAGUACGGCCGCAAGGCUGAAACUUAAAGGAAUUGGCGGGGGGGCACCACAAGGGGUGAAGCUUGCGGCUUAAUUGGAGUCAACGCCGGAAACCUUACCCAGGGCGACAGCAAGAUGAUGGCCAGGCUAACGACCUUGCCUGAUGAGCUGAGAGGAGGUGCAUGGCCGUCGCCAGCUCGUGCUGCGAAGUGUCCGGUUAAGUCCGGCAACGAGCGAGACCCCCACUUCUAGUUGCUACCCGGUUCUUCGGAAUCGGGGGCACACUAGAGGGACUGCCGGCGUAAGCCGGAGGAAGGAGGGGGCCACGGCAGGUCAGUAUGCCCCGAAACCCUGGGGCCGCACGCGAGCUGCAAUGGCUGGAACAGCGGGAUUCGACCCCGAGAGGGGAAGAUAAUCUCUAAACCCGUUUUUAGUCCGGAUUGAGGGCUGUAACUCGCCCUCAUGAAGAUGGAUUCCGUAGUAAUCGCGGAUCAACAGUCCGCGGUGAAUAUGCCCCUGCUCCU